UGAAAAAAAUAACAAUUCAAGCUUUUACUUGUCACAUUUUUCACCGUGGUUAAAUUUUAAUUAGCAUAGCUUAGAAGAUGUUCCAAUGCAUGCUGCUAGGUUCAACAUUGCUCCAUGUAUCUGCAACAACAGUACCAAUCAUCUAAUUAGUAUCCGUCAAAAUGAGAGUGGCUGCGGAAGUGGGUAUAACUAAGAAACACAUAUAUGGAUGUAGUUGUGUUAAAGAAGAUGCCA
This 234-nucleotide long non-coding RNA is filed under the name Hordeum vulgare. RNAcentral's name for it is "long non-coding RNA (HVUL_LNC016624)". Lineage: Eukaryota; Viridiplantae; Streptophyta; Magnoliopsida; Poales; Poaceae. The record is from RNAcentral.